AGUACAGACGAGUUUGAUCAUGGCUCAGAUUGAACGCUGGCGGCAGGCUUAACACAUGCAAGUCGAACGGAACCUUCGGGUUUAGUGGCGAACGGGUGAGUAAUACCUAGGAAUCUGCCUAUUAGUGGGGGAUAACGGCUCGAAAGGGUCGCUAAUACCGCAUACGUCCUACGGGAGAAANAGGGGGAUCUUCGGACCUCUUGCUAAUAGAUGAGCCUAGGCCGGAUUAGCUAGUUGGUAGGGUAAAGGCCUACCAAGGCGACGAUCCGUAGCUGGUCUGAGAGGAUGAUCAGCCACACUGGAACUGAGACACGGUCCAGACUCCUACGGGAGGCAGCAGUGGGGAAUAUUGGACAAUGGGGGCAACCCUGAUCCAGCCAUGCCGCGUGUGUGAAGAAGGCCUUCGGGUUGUAAAGCACUUUAAGCGAGGAGGAAGGUCUUUGAACUAAUAUUUCAAAGAAUUGACGUUACUCGCAGAAUAAGCACCGGCUAACUCUGUG
Molecule: ribosomal RNA, 500 nt
Filed under: uncultured bacterium
Lineage: Bacteria
Description: bacterial SSU rRNA
Rfam family: Bacterial small subunit ribosomal RNA
Source: RNAcentral